RNAcentral lists this long non-coding RNA (873 nucleotides) under Anas platyrhynchos platyrhynchos (common mallard). RNAcentral describes it as "lncRNA (ENSAPLG00000029164.1)". The record is from RNAcentral. Lineage: Eukaryota; Metazoa; Chordata; Aves; Anseriformes; Anatidae.
UGAAGGUCUGCAGGAGUUGCUGCCUGUACUUGUAUCACUGCAGUGCUGCUGGAGGCACAGAGCAGGAGAGGAUCUGGCAGUAAUUGGCUCUCAUGACUCCUACUUGAGUGAUUUAUCAUCCAGCCUGCCAAGAAGCCCAAUCAAUUAAACACCACAAAGCACAAUCUUCUUUUUUCCUCUGUGAAUAUUCUUGCUUUAACCGUCACUGUGGUCGCCGGACUCUCCAUCCCAGAGUGCUACGUGGGUGCUGGCAAUGCAGCACCUGCACCUGCUGUCUGUACUGCACCAUUGCAUCAUUAAGGUGUAAGCAAACAGAGCAGAACACCGGGGCAUACACCUCGGAAAAUGCUCCUCAGCGUUGGCACUGAAGCUUUCUGCAGAGCAUCCGUGCUAGGUGAGUUCCCAGAGCACCCUGAUUCAGGAAAAGACUUGAUCAUGAAUGGAACCUCAGACAUCCAAGUGAAGCCAACGAAGCUGCUCCUGAAAUCAAGCAUGUGCUUUUUUUUUCUUUUUUUAAUGAUAAAAAGCAAAAGGAUGGCCUCAAGUGCUGACCAUGACGCUAUGGCAAGCAGAACUGUGCAGAAUAAACAAGACUUCUCUGGAACCGCACUUGUCAGGCAGCCCACGCCCCCACUUCAAAUCUACUGUGCUUGUAAGGUGAUGGCUGAUUUCAGAGGCCGCUGUGUCAGAGAGACUUUUAUCCAGACACCACGGAGCUCUAGCUUGGACGCGUGCCUGAGGGCACGUUGUCACUGCGGCUGCAAGGUGGUGUGGAAGUACACCUUCUGCAAACCUGCUGCAGCCACCACACAGCCAGCAGAAGGGCCUCUGUGCCGGACAUUUCGGUUCCCAGGACAAUCGCUGCUGGCCUGA